This is a long non-coding RNA of Suricata suricatta (meerkat), 332 nucleotides long. RefSeq lists it as uncharacterized. The record is from RefSeq and is a predicted model, not a curated record. NCBI's taxonomy places the organism in Eukaryota, Metazoa, Chordata, Mammalia, Carnivora, Herpestidae. The transcript has 3 exons.
CCUCCUCCGUGUGCAAAGAGCCUGAGAACAUUCUGUCUUCAAGGAAAUGCUCUCCAGAUUGCUCACCGUCCAUUAAGGAGCCGGAGAGCGUUAAAUAAUUUCACCUGAAUCUGAAGUGCCCGAUGAGCAGGAUAAAGCUCCUGCGGACACGGCUCCUACCCGCGCUGCCCUCCUCUGGACGAGGUGUCCCUCACAGGUGCUCGCCUGACCCCGGGACAUGGCACCUCGUGAGAUGUUCAAUGAUCCUUGGUUUAAAGAGCAGGAGUCGGGGCGCCUGGGGGCUCAGUUGGCUGAGUGUCUGGCUUCAGCUCAGGUCGUGAUCUCACAGUUCA